Long non-coding RNA from Nomascus leucogenys (northern white-cheeked gibbon), 107 nucleotides. RefSeq lists it as uncharacterized. The transcript is spliced from 3 exons. NCBI's taxonomy places the organism in Eukaryota, Metazoa, Chordata, Mammalia, Primates, Hylobatidae. The record is from RefSeq and is a predicted model, not a curated record.
AGGCGUGAGCCACCGCGCCUGGCUGGGCAAAUACUGUUUCUAGGCAGAGUUUGGGGACUGUGAUAUGUCUGCCACUUGUGGGUGCUACGCCAGGCCUGAACCCAAAA